AGCUGGCAACUUUAUUUUGUUACUUCUUUUAAUAGGGGGUUUCACUAUGUACCCAGAUGAGAUCCCCCUGCCUCAGUCUCCUGAGUAGCUUGGGUUGCUGGUGUGCUGCACCAUUCUCAAGAGACUGGCAGUUUUCAUCUAAAGUCAAUGAAACGGACACAUUUGGUCCCAGAGAGGAUGAUGAAAUCCAGUUUGAUGAUGUCGGAGAUGAUGAUGAAGACAUUGAUGAUAUCUAAGCUGAACCCAAUGUGUUAUAUCCCGAGUAUUCUCAGGGUCGUUCUACAUUCGGGAUCUUGGUCGUCAGCUGUUAAGAGUAAGACUUCAUUUAGCUUGCCAAGGAAAGCAGAUUGGUUUGUUUGCAUUUUAAAAAGUAUUUGUUAUAUUUCUUUGAAGACUGAAGAUGUUGUGUUAACUGACAUGUGAAAACAUAGAUGUAAUGCUACCAUGUGCACUGAUAAACCAAUACUUCAUUUCUAGUAAACGAAUGCCAUCACUCAG
RNAcentral lists this long non-coding RNA (498 nucleotides) under Castor canadensis (American beaver). RNAcentral describes it as "lncRNA (ENSCCNG00000021512.1)". The record is from RNAcentral. Lineage: Eukaryota; Metazoa; Chordata; Mammalia; Rodentia; Castoridae.